CAGCAGGGGUAGCAAUACCCGCUGGCGACCGGCAAACGGGUGAGGAACAUGUACGCAACCUUCCUUUAACUGGAGAAUAGCCCCUCGAAAGAGGGAUUAAUACUCCGUAACAUAAUGAAGUGGCAUCACUUUAUUAUUAUAGCUCCGGCGGUUAAAGAUGGGCGCGCACCUGAUUAGAUAGUUGGCGGGGUAACGGCCCACCAAGUCUGCGAUCAGUAACUGGUGUGAGAGCACGACCAGUCACACGGGCACUGAGACACGGGUCCGACUCCUACGGGAGGCAGCAGUAAGGAAUAUUGGUCAAUGGACGCAAGUCUGAACCAGCCAUGCCGCGUGGAGGAUUAAGGCCCUCUGGGUUGUAAACUCCUUUUAUCUGGGAAGAAAUGUACUUUUUCUUGAGUACUUGACGGUACCAGAGGAAUAAGCACCGGCUAACUCCGUGCCAGCAGCCGCGGUAAUACGGAGGGUGCAAGCGUUAUCCGGAUUCACUGGGUUUAAAGGGUGCGUAGGUGGGCAGGUAAGUCAGUGGUGAAAUCUCCGGGCUUAACCCGGAAACUGCCGUUGAUACUAUUUGUCUUGAAUAUUGUGGAGGUAAGCGGAAUAUGUCAUGUAGCGGUGAAAUGCUUAGAUAUGACAUAGAACACCAAUUGCGAAGGCAGCUUACUACACAACGAUUGACGCUGAGGCACGAAAGCGUGGGGAUCAAACAGGAUUAGAUACCCUGGUAGUCCACGCCCUAAACGAUGAUUACUCGACGUGUGCGAUACACUGUACGCGUCUGAGCGAAAGCAUUAAGUAAU
Molecule: ribosomal RNA, 800 nt
Filed under: uncultured Flavobacteriia bacterium
Lineage: Bacteria; Pseudomonadati; Bacteroidota; Flavobacteriia
Description: bacterial SSU rRNA
Rfam family: Bacterial small subunit ribosomal RNA
Source: RNAcentral